CCUACGGGAGGCAGCAGUGGGGGAUAUUGGACAAUGGGGGGAACCCUGAUCCAGCGACGCCGCGUGAGUGAAGAAGUAUUUCGGUAUGUAAAGCUCUGUCAGCAGGGAAGAAAGAAAUGACGGUACCUGACCAAGAAGCCCCGGCUAACUACGUGCCAGCAGCCGCGGUAAUACGUAGGGGGCAAGCGUUAUCCGGAAUUACUGGGUGUAAAGGGAGCGUAGACGGUUAAGUAAGUCUGGAGUGAAAGGCCGGGGCUCAACCCCGGGACUGCUCUGGAAACUAUUUAACUUGAGAGCAGGAGAGGUAAGCGGAAUUCCUAGUGUAGCGGUGAAAUGCGUAGAUAUUAGGAGGAACACCAGUGGCGAAGGCGGCUUACUGGACUGUAACUGACGUUGAGGCUCGAAAGCGUGGGGAGCAAACAGGAUUAGAUACCCGAGUAGUC
RNAcentral lists this ribosomal RNA (443 nucleotides) under uncultured bacterium. Its description in RNAcentral is "partial 16S ribosomal RNA". It matches the Rfam family "Bacterial small subunit ribosomal RNA", at positions 338 to 795 of the family's 1533-position model. The record is from RNAcentral.